Molecule: long non-coding RNA, 409 nt
Organism: Cyprinus carpio carpio
Lineage: Eukaryota; Metazoa; Chordata; Actinopteri; Cypriniformes; Cyprinidae
Source: Ensembl
CUUGCGAACAUGCAGCUUUUUGCUUCUCAAGAUGUUAAUUGAUUGUUUGUAGAUUAUUUUUAUUUUAUUAGCUUUUUGUCUCUUAUUCUGACGGCACCCAUUCACUGCAGAGGAUCCAUUGGGUGAGGAGGCGUGGUUCAGUGAGGUCUGCAGCGGGAGAGAAGUUCAGGAGACAAACGUGAUUGACCAGAUAAAAGAGUGACUGGAGAACGUGGAAGGGGAGAGAGACUGGAUGGAGAACUCAUUCGUGCUCGCCUAGUCUGAAAGCCAGAGAAAUCAGAGGAACUGAGUAAUUGUGAGACUGGCGACUGUCUGAAAGCGCAGACAACGCAACUUUUGUGUUUUAUGAUUGUUUUCAUUGAAUAAAAAUGCACCACCGACCCUACCCUCUUCCUUACUUACUAAAAAC